AGAUGAAGAGCUAUGUUUGAUAGCCAAGGAUGACUUGCCUAUCUCCUCCAACAGGGUUUCAAACAGAUGAAUAAUGCAGAAGAAUGCGGUGGGAUUAAUCUGGAUUUGGAGCUCUUUUGUGGCUCAUAGGCAGUCUCCUUCGGCUAGUCUGACUGGCUCUUAUCUU
Molecule: microRNA precursor, 166 nt
Filed under: Manihot esculenta (cassava)
Lineage: Eukaryota; Viridiplantae; Streptophyta; Magnoliopsida; Malpighiales; Euphorbiaceae
Source: RNAcentral